GCUGCGGCUGAGAAUUAAACCAAAAAAGAAUUUUUGAGUACCAUCCGAUGAUCCAGUAUCAAUCACAGGCAUGAUCCAACGAAUGCCAUUGAUCCCGACUUUGAAUAGAAGAUCAGAUGCGUGAUCUAAUGGUCCAAUCAAAUCUGACGAAUGAUCGGAUGGCUAAUAUCCUUUUCGAUUGUAACAAGGCUUGAUGAAGAGAUUUUUUGAUGAAAUCUGG
Molecule: long non-coding RNA, 220 nt
Filed under: Elaeis guineensis (African oil palm)
Lineage: Eukaryota; Viridiplantae; Streptophyta; Magnoliopsida; Arecales; Arecaceae
Description: long non-coding RNA (EGUI_LNC009978)
Source: RNAcentral